RNAcentral lists this ribosomal RNA (460 nucleotides) under uncultured bacterium. RNAcentral describes it as "partial 16S ribosomal RNA". It matches the Rfam family "Bacterial small subunit ribosomal RNA", at positions 338 to 795 of the family's 1533-position model. The record is from RNAcentral.
CCUACGGGAGGCAGCAGUGAGGAAUAUUGGUCAAUGGCCGGGAGGCUGAACCAGCCAAGUCGCGUGAGGGAAGACGGCCCUACGGGUUGUAAACCUCUUUUGUCAGGGAGCAAGGUGCAGGUCGGGACCUGCUGUGAGAGUACCUGAAGAAAAAGCAUCGGCUAACUCCGUGCCAGCAGCCGCGGUAAUACGUAGGGGGCAAGCGUUAUCCGGAUUUACUGGGUGGAAAGGGAGCGUAGACGGUGCAGCAAGUAUGAGGUGAAAGGGCGGGGCCCAACCCCGGAACUGCAUUUGAAACUGUUGUACUGGAGUACAGGAGAGGUAAGCGGAAUUCCUAGUGUAGCGGUGAAAUGCGUAGAUAUUAGGAAGAACACCAGUGGCGAAGGCGGCUUACUGGACUGUAACUGACGUUGAGGCUCGAAAGCGUGGGGAGCAAACAGGAUUAGAUACCCUGGUAGUC